RNAcentral lists this ribosomal RNA (235 nucleotides) under uncultured bacterium. RNAcentral's name for it is "partial 16S ribosomal RNA". It matches the Rfam family "Bacterial small subunit ribosomal RNA", at positions 15 to 241 of the family's 1533-position model. The record is from RNAcentral.
GAUCAUGGCUCAGGAUGAACGCUAGCGGCAGGCUUAACACAUGCAAGUCGGAGGGGCAGCAUAAUGGAUAGCAAUAUCUAUGGUGGCGACCGGCGCACGGGUGCGUAACGCGUAUGCAACCUACCUUUAACGAGGGGGAUAACACUGAGAAAUUGGUACUAAUACCCCAUAACAUCAUGAAAGGCAUCUUUUAUGGUUGAAAAUUCCGAUGGUUAGAGAUGGGCAUGCGUUGUUA